This 820-nucleotide ribosomal RNA is filed under the name Ramularia endophylla. RNAcentral's name for it is "eukaryotic LSU rRNA". It matches the Rfam family "Eukaryotic large subunit ribosomal RNA", at positions 77 to 928 of the family's 3401-position model. Lineage: Eukaryota; Fungi; Ascomycota; Dothideomycetes; Mycosphaerellales; Mycosphaerellaceae. The record is from RNAcentral.
GCCCUAGUAACGGCGAGUGAAGCGGCAACAGCUCAAAUUUGAAAUCUGGCGCAAGCCCGAGUUGUAAUUUGUAGAGGAUGCUUCUAGGUAGCGACCGGUCUAAGUUCCUUGGAACAGGACGUCAUAGAGGGUGAGAAUCCCGUAUGUGACUGGCCCGCACCUUCUACGUAGCUCCUUCGACGAGUCGAGUUGUUUGGGAAUGCAGCUCUAAAUGGGAGGUAAAUUUCUUCUAAAGCUAAAUACCGGCCAGAGACCGAUAGCGCACAAGUAGAGUGAUCGAAAGAUGAAAAGCACUUUGGAAAGAGAGUUAAAAAGCACGUGAAAUUGUUGAAAGGGAAGCGCUCACAACCAGACUUCUAGGCAGUGUUCCGCCGGUCUUUUGACCGGUCUACUCUCUGUCUCGAGGCCAACAUCAUCUGGGACCGCCGGAUAAGACCUUAGGAAUGUAGCUCCCCUCGGGGAGUGUUAUAGCCUCUGGUGAUGCGGCGCGUCUCGGGUGAGGUCCGCGCUUCGGCAAGGAUGUUGGCGUAAUGGUUGUCAGCGGCCCGUCUUGAAACACGGACCAAGGAGUCUAACAUCUAUGCGAGUGUUCGGGUGUCAAACCCCUACGCGUAAUGAAAGUGAACGGAGGUGGGAAGCGUAAGCUGCACCAUCGACCGAUCCUGAUGUCCUCGGAUGGAUUUGAGUAAGAGCAUAGCUGUUGGGACCCGAAAGAUGGUGAACUAUGCCUGAAUAGGGUGAAGCCAGAGGAAACUCUGGUGGAGGCUCGCAGCGGUUCUGACGUGCAAAUCGAUCGUCAAAUUUGGGUAUAGGGGCGAAA